RNAcentral lists this ribosomal RNA (256 nucleotides) under uncultured Scutellospora. Its description in RNAcentral is "partial 18S ribosomal RNA". It matches the Rfam family "Eukaryotic small subunit ribosomal RNA", at positions 624 to 886 of the family's 1831-position model. The record is from RNAcentral. Lineage: Eukaryota; Fungi; Glomeromycota; Glomeromycetes; Diversisporales; Gigasporaceae.
AAGCUCGUAGUUGAAUUUCGGGGUUCUACCGUUGGUCGGGCUAACCAGUCUGUACUAGCGUGUAGAAUUCUUACCUUCUGGGGAACCAUCAUGUUAUUAAUUUAGCGUGGUAGGAAACCAGGACCUUUACCUUGAAAAAAUUAGAGUGUUCAAAGCAGGCUUACGUCUGAAUACAUUAGCAUGGAGUAAUAAAAUAGGACGGUGGUCCUGUUUUGUUGGUUUCUGAAUCACCGUAAUGAUUAUAGGGAUAGUUGGG